Molecule: transfer RNA, 75 nt
Filed under: Thermoplasmatales archaeon
Lineage: Archaea; Methanobacteriati; Thermoplasmatota; Thermoplasmata; Thermoplasmatales
Description: tRNA-Ile
Rfam family: tRNA
About the family: Transfer RNA (tRNA) molecules are approximately 80 nucleotides in length.
Source: RNAcentral
GCUCCCGUAGCCUAGCCUGGUUUGAGCGUCCGGCUGAUAACCGGAAGGUCACCGGUUCAAAUCCGGUCGGGAGCA